This 495-nucleotide ribosomal RNA is filed under the name uncultured bacterium. Its description in RNAcentral is "partial 16S ribosomal RNA". It matches the Rfam family "Bacterial small subunit ribosomal RNA", at positions 28 to 505 of the family's 1533-position model. The record is from RNAcentral.
GACGAACGCUGGCGGCGUGCCUAAUACAUGCAAGUAGAACGCUGAAGCGAGGAGCUUGCUCUUCUUGGAUGAGUUGCGAACGGGUGAGUAACGCGUAGGUAACCUGCCUUGUAGCGGGGGAUAACUAUUGGAAACGAUAGCUAAUACCGCAUAACAAUGGAUGACACAUGUCAUUUAUUUGAAAGGGGCAAUUGUUCCACUACAAGAUGGACCUGCGUUGUAUUAGCUAGUAGGUGAGGUAAUGGCUCACCUAGGCGACGAUACAUAGCCGACCUGAGAGGGUGAUCGGCCACACUGGGACUGAGACACGGCCCAGACUCCUACGGGAGGCAGCAGUAGGGAAUCUUCGGCAAUGGGGGCAACCCUGACCGAGCAACGCCGCGUGAGUGAAGAGGGUUUUCGGAUCGUAAAGCUCUGUUGUAAGUCAAGAACGGGUGUGAGAGUGGAAAGUUCACACUGUGACGGUAGCUUACCAGAAAGGGACGGCUAACUACG